This 495-nucleotide ribosomal RNA is filed under the name uncultured bacterium. Its description in RNAcentral is "partial 16S ribosomal RNA". It matches the Rfam family "Bacterial small subunit ribosomal RNA", at positions 29 to 506 of the family's 1533-position model. The record is from RNAcentral.
AUGCACGCUGGCGGCGUGCCUAAUCCAUGCAAGUCGAGCGAACAGACGAGGAGCUUGCUCCUCCGACGUUAGCGGCGGACGGGUGAGUAACACGUGGAUAACCUACCUAUAAGACUGGGAUAACUUCGGGAAACCGGAGCUAAUACCGGAUAAUAUAUUGAACCGCAUGGUUCAAUAGUGAAAGACGGUUUUGCUGUCACUUAUAGAUGGAUCCGCGCCGCAUUAGCUAGUUGGUAAGGUAACGGCUUACCAAGGCAACGAUGCGUAGCCGACCUGAGAGGGUGAUCGGCCACACUGGAACUGAGACACGGUCCAGACUCCUACGGGAGGCAGCAGUAGGGAAUCUUCCGCAAUGGGCGAAAGCCUGACGGAGCAACGCCGCGUGAGUGAUGAAGGUCUUCGGAUCGUAAAACUCUGUUAUUAGGGAAGAACAAAUGUGUAAGUAACUAUGCACGUCUUGACGGUACCUAAUCAGAAAGCCACGGCUAACUACGU